UACGUAGGGGGCAAGCGUUGUCCGGAUUUAUUGGGCGUAAAGAGCGUGUAGGCGGCCAGACAGGUCCGUUGUGAAAACUGGAGGCUUAACCUCCAGACGUCGAUGGAAACCGUCUGGCUAGAGUCCGGAAGAGGAGAGUGGAAUUCCUGGCGUAGCGGUGAAAUGCGCAGAUAUCAGGAAGAACACCCGUGGCUAAGGCGGCUCUCUAGUACGGUACUGACGCUGAGACGCGAAAGCGUGGGGAGCGAACAGG
Molecule: ribosomal RNA, 253 nt
Filed under: uncultured bacterium
Lineage: Bacteria
Description: partial 16S ribosomal RNA
Rfam family: Bacterial small subunit ribosomal RNA
Source: RNAcentral